This 2638-nucleotide ribosomal RNA is filed under the name pig gut metagenome. RNAcentral describes it as "Bacterial large subunit ribosomal RNA". It matches the Rfam family "Bacterial large subunit ribosomal RNA". The record is from RNAcentral.
UCAAGCUAAUAAGGGCAUAGGGUGGAUGCCUUGGCACCAAGCGCCGAAGAAGGACGUGACAAGCUGCGAAAAGCUACGGGGAGUUGCAAAUGAACGUUGAUCCGUAGAUAUCCGAAUGAGGAAACUCACUAGUAGUAACGUACUAGUAUCCGUAUGUGAAUAUAUAGCAUACAGGAAGGGAACCCGGUGAACUGAAACAUCUAAGUAGCCGGAGGAAAAGAAAGAAAACAAUCGAUUUCCAAAGUAGUGGUGAGCGAAAUGGAAAGAGCCUAAACCUAGGAUAGUGAUAUCCGACGGGGUAACGGACUAGAAAAAGUAUCAAAAUGGGUAGUUGAAUACAACUGGAAAGUUGAACCAAAGAGAGUAACAGUCUCGUAGACGAAACUUAGUUUGAACCGCUAGUAUCCAGAGUAGUGCAGGACACGAGGAAUCCGGCAUGAAGACAGGAGGACCAUCUCCUAAGGCUAAAUACGACUUGGUGACCGAUAGAGUAUAGUACCGUGAGGGAAAGGUGAAAAGAACCCCGGGAGGGGAGUGAAAGAGAACCUGAAACCCUAUGCUUACAAGCAGAUACAGCACUACUGAAAGUGUGGUAUCGUACUUUUUGUAGAACGGGCCGGCGAGUUACGGUGUGUAGCGAGGUUAAGUAAUUAAGUUACGAAGCCGAAGCGAAAGCGAGUCUGAUAAGGGCGCAUAGUUGCAUGCCGUAGACCCGAAACCAGAUGACCUACCCAUGAGCAGAUUGAAGCUGUGGUAAAACAUAGUGGAGGAUCGAACUCACGUCUCUUGAAAAAGGCGGGGAUGACUUGUGGGUAGCGGAGAAAUUCCAAUCGAAUCUGGAUAUAGCUGGUUCUCUUCGAAAUAGCUUUAGGGCUAGCCUCUCGUUAGAGUACUGAAGGUAGAGCACUGAAUGGGCUAGGGGGCUUCACAGCUUACUGAACCUUAUCAAACUUCGAAUGACAGAUACUUGAUGCGAGGGAGUCAGACUAUGUGAGAUAAGUCUCAUGGUCAAGAGGGAAACAGCCCAGAUCCACAACUAAGGUCCCAAAGUAUAGAUUAAGUGGUAAAGGAUGUGUUACUGCUAAAACAACCAGGAUGUUGGCUCAGAAGCAGCCAUACAUUAAAAGAGUGCGUAAUAGCUCACUGGUCGAGUGGUGAUGCGCCGAAAAUUACCGGGGCUAAAAUCUAACACCGAAGUUUGGGGAUAAUAGUAAUAUUAUCGGUAGAAGAGCAAUGUAUAAGAGCUGAAGCAGUAUCGAAAGGGGCUGUGGAUUUUAUACAAGAGAGAAUGCCGGCAUAAGUAGCGAGAGCAGAGCGAGAAACUCUGCCGUCGAAAGCCUAAGGUUUCCUGGGGAAGGUUCGUCCGCCCAGGGUAAGUCGGGACCUAAGCCGAGAGCGAAAGCUGUAGGUGAUGGACAACGGGUAGAUAUUCCCGUACCGGCCGAAGACGCUUAAAUGAAGCAAUGACACAGGAGGAUAGCCAAAGCGCGCUGAUGGAUAAGUGCGUCCAAGAUGUUAGGCUAACGUGUAGUGAAGUACGCACGUUGUUAGGCUGAGCAUUGAUGGGGAAUGAAAACUAGUAAGAAAGUUGGUGAAUCCACACUGGCGAGAAAAGUUGCUAAAUAUGUCUAAGGUUGCCCGUACCGCAAACCGACACAGGUAGGCGAGGAGAAAAUCCUAAGACGAUCGGGAUAACUAUUGUUAAGGAACUCUGCAAAAUGACCCCGUAACUUCGGGAGAAGGGGAGCCUCCGCGAGGAGGUCGCAGUGAAGAGGCCCAAGCGACUGUUUACCAAAAACACAGGUCUCUGCAAAAUCGAAAGAUGAUGUAUAGGGGCUGACGCCUGCCCAGUGCUGGAAGGUUAAGGGGAAAUGUUAGAGCAAUCGAAGCAUAGAACUUAAGCCCCAGUGAACGGCGGCCGUAACUAUAACGGUCCUAAGGUAGCGAAAUUCCUUGUCAGGUAAGUUCUGACCCGCACGAAUGGCGUAACGACUUGGGCGCUGUCUCAACAAUAGACCCGGCGAAAUUGUAGUAUACGUGAAGAUGCGUAUUACCCGCGACUGGACGGAAAGACCCCGUAGAGCUUUACUGUAACUUGAUAUUGAAAUUCGGUAAUUGAUGUACAGGAUAGGUGGGAGACUUGGAAACGUAGGCGUCAGCUUGCGCGGAGUCACCCUUGGGAUACCACCCUUUAAUUACUGGAUCUCUAACCUUAGGCCAUUAUCUGGCUAGGGGACAGUGUCAGGUGGACAGUUUGACUGGGGCGGUCGCCUCCCAAAAAGUAACGGAGGCGUUCAAAGGUUCCCUCAGAAUGGUUGGAAAUCAUUCAUAGAGUGUAAAGGCAUAAGGGAGCUUAACUGAGAGACAGACAUGUCGACCAGAUACGAAAGUAGGACUUAGUGAUCCGGCGGUAGAGAAUGGAAUUGCCGUCGCUUAACGGAUAAAAGUUACCUCGGGGAUAACAGGCUUAUCUCCCCCAAGAGUUCACAUCGACGGGGAGGUUUGGCACCUCGAUGUCGGCUCGUCGCAUCCUGGGGCUGAAGUCGGUCCCAAGGGUUGGGCUGUUCGCCCAUUAAAGCGGCACGCGAGCUGGGUUCAGAACGUCGUGAGACAGUUCGGUCCCUAUCCGUCGUGGGCG